RNAcentral lists this long non-coding RNA (2051 nucleotides) under Mus musculus (house mouse). RNAcentral's name for it is "long non-coding RNA chr11:75208555-75210606". Lineage: Eukaryota; Metazoa; Chordata; Mammalia; Rodentia; Muridae. The record is from RNAcentral.
AAGCACUUGAUCCUCUUCCAGCUCACAACUCAGCUCACAAUUGCCUGUGACUCUAGUUCUAGGGGGAAUGGCCUUUUAUGGGCCUCUCUGAACACUGGACAUUCACACGAUGCACAUACAUACCACAGGCAAAAGACUCACCCAUAAAAUAAAAUAAAUCUUAAGGAAAAGAUCAUAGUUGGCUAGUGGAUUACAAAGAUUAUUCAAACCAAUUGGCAAUACACCCUCCUCUCCAGUGCCUCAUCACUAACUUCUCUCUGCAGAGCCUCGCCUCCCUGGCUUGGUUUGCUAGUGGCUGACCCUUAGCUGAAGCUUUCUCUCCAUCGCAGGAAGGUUUGGGAGGGCCAAGCCUGCCACCUGGGGGUGGGGGUGGGGUUAGUGAUUAAACCCUGGGAUCUGGGCAAACCCAGACUCAAAUCCUGGGAGUUACUUUAUUUCUUGAACUUGAGUUCCUUCCAUCCAUGAAAUGGGGUUGUAGUAGUACCCACCUCAUGGAGUUAAAAAGAGUAAAGAAGAUGUCUCAGACAAAGCUCUUGGCACUUUGCUGUGGCCUGACCCAGAAUAGGCACUCUGUGAACACAGUCAUCAAUGUGAAUAGUAGCAGCAGUAACUUCCUUCCCCGGAGAAGUCCUGCAUUGUCUUCCUCCUGCCCACCCCUGGCAGCUCUUUGAAGUUUAACUGCCUGUCAUCCAAAGCUGAGACUUGAGUGUAGCCAUGACUGGAAUCUCAGGGCCAGCACAGAUGGGCUACCUAGCAUGGAGGGUAUAGAUGUUUGGAAUGAGUCUUUUCAUUCUGAUAAUCUGAACUCUUUGCCCUGUCCAUUAGGGAUGCGGAGAUGUUGUGGACACAUCCUUGGACUGUUUAUUGGCCAGGAAGCCACAAGGUGGGGGUGGGGCCUAGCUACCAACCACUUCUACAAACCGCUGCCCACUCUGACUUCUCAUCUGUCUCUUCUCUCAGAAAACAGGACCAUGAUCAGAAAAGCAAACUCAGCCCCAGCCUUGCACCUUGGUCUUGUGGCUGUGAAGCAGACAGAGCUUCCUGCCUGGCUCCUCUGGCCUUAUGACUGGCCUGCUAGGUUCCCCUUGUAGCCUCUGCAGAUUAGGCUAAGCAGACAGAGUAGAAACACUGUGGAACCAGAAACUUACCACUGGUCUAACCGUGACCAAAUGCUUUUAACUCUCAGGGGCUCAGUACUCCCUCCGUUGUGUUGUGGAGGCAGGAGGACCCGGAUUUCAAAACUAGGUUUGGCUACAAAGCAAGUUCAAGACCAGCCUAUGUUACACUAGACAGGCUCAAGCAAAUUGAAACAAAAACAUAGGUUAAUGCCCUCUGCCUGUUGGGAUCCGUGUAACCUUGGUGCUGUUCUCUGUAUUGCCUUUGAAUUAUUCAGAAGCCCUGUACUGAGGCCCUACUGUGUGUGGUGAGCCCAGCUCCUCUCUCUGUGCUUCCUUCUCCUGCUGUUUUUUUCCUCUUCGUUUUGCAGGGCCUGCCUUGCCCUCCAUCCAUCUUGCUAUAGGAUCUACAACAAAGAGCCUGCUAGCCUCCAGGAUCAGGCUGCCUCAAUGGGCUUCAGGUCCCUUAUGGGGGGUGCUCACGUCUUUGAGCUUGUGGCCUGCCUUCUUAGCAGGGAAAUAGAUUUCUGAAGGAGAAAGGUGUGUCCUAGGAGCUGUCAGUGCCCCCCCCCCCCAGUGAAGCUCUCUGCAGCUUGGGUGGAGAGCUAUCGCCUUCUAGGCAAACGAAGCUGGGAGCCAUUGAUUUGUCUCUUAUCACCCCUUAGAAAAGAAGAGCUACCCUGUGGGAAGGCUGUUUACUGUGGAGGGUUUGUCCCAGAGAGCAGUGGGGACACCAAAAUGAGGGCACAGGUCCCCUCCUGUGCCACCCUCUCUCUUUGCUGAGUUGAAGCCUGUGCCUUCCCUAUACCAGGAAUAUGGGCGCUCCGAGGUCACCGGUCCUGUGUGCCUCACUGCAGUGACCUCUCCGCCCGACUGGGACUGGCCGGAUGUUCUUACUAAUAAGCAAACUGCAUUACCAUCUCGACAGAAUUAACC